This 253-nucleotide ribosomal RNA is filed under the name uncultured bacterium. RNAcentral's name for it is "partial 16S ribosomal RNA". It matches the Rfam family "Bacterial small subunit ribosomal RNA", at positions 524 to 776 of the family's 1533-position model. The record is from RNAcentral.
UACGAAGGGUGCUAGCGUUGUUCGGAAUCACUGGGCGUAAAGCGCGUGUAGGCGGAUCUUUAAGUCUGGUGUGAAAGCCCGGGGCUCACCCCCGGAAGUGCAUUGGAAACUGAUGGACUCGAGUCCCGGAGAGGAGAGUGGAAUUCCUGGUGUAGCGGUGAAAUGCGUAGAUAUCAGGAGGAACACCGGUGGCGAAGGCGGCUCUCUGGACGGUGACUGACGCUGAGACGCGAAAGCGUGGGGAGCAAACAGG